GUCCUCGAACACCGCGCCGCCCACGGUGGCCAGCACCAGGAUGCGGAAGAUCAGCAUGACCACCAGCCACAGGCGGCCCACCAGCGGCGACUGCAGCUGCACGGCGUCCAGCAGCGAGCUGAGGAACGCCCACUCCCCCAUGGCGCUGGGGGCGAGGGGGGGGGCGUCAGCGGCCGCAGGCAGGGCCCCCCACCCAUGCCCCCGGGAGUGGGCCCAGUGGGACCUCCUCUAACCUCCUGGAUGUAUUGGGCCACUUUGAGGCCAGUGAAGAUACUGUCUGACUGAAAGGAAACAAAUCUGACUUCAGAAAGUACUGAGGACAGAUGUAAGGGGGAAUGUAAAAUGAUACAAGCUCUUUGAAAAGGUUUGGCAGUUUCUUACAAAGAAUAAUUUCCCAAAGGUGGAAUUACUGAGGAAAGGGAUAUUGGGCAGACAAGAACAGAUAUCCAUUACACUUGAAGAAAAAGUGAGUUAAAAAGUUUUCUGUGUGCUUGAAUUUCAGGAAAAAUGGCCAGAAAUCACUGAAGUCCCAUUGCAUCAGAACAAAUUUAUCUACUAAUACAAUUUUUGAAUCCCUUAUUUUCUCAAUAACCAUUUUUUAUACCUUGUA
Molecule: long non-coding RNA, 610 nt
Organism: Myotis daubentonii (Daubenton's bat)
Lineage: Eukaryota; Metazoa; Chordata; Mammalia; Chiroptera; Vespertilionidae
Exons: 3
Source: RefSeq, a predicted model, not a curated record